This 67-nucleotide non-coding RNA is filed under the name Clostridium sp. AF29-8BH. The record is from RNAcentral. Lineage: Bacteria; Bacillati; Bacillota; Clostridia; Eubacteriales; Clostridiaceae.
AGCCGAAACGCCCGCGCAGGGCGUCCACCGUGGGACGGUCUCCCGGUGCUGAUGAUGGCAUCCUUGA